GCGGCUGAACCUGAUGCUCUGCUGUCAAUCCUGUCUGAAGGACCUCCGAAUAUUCCCUCUGAGAAGCCGCCAGUUGUGUAUGGUUCUAGUUCUUCUACAGUGGAGAAACCGAGCGCACAGGUGAGCAUGCCCAGGUAAGCACAAGGAGUGAGUCAAUCAGGGUUUGCAGGUCAACUUUCUUUCCAAGCUAUGCCUAGAGCUUACAUGCUAAGGAAGUUGCCUGUAACGGGAAAGUUCCUGGGUAAUAUUCUCACUCGGGUGGUCAUUUUGCAUAGCACAAUGUCCCUAUGUCUAGAUGCGGUGCCUUGAGGAGCUCAAGGAAAAUACCUUGAUCGGGUCUCCCUUUGCCCAAGAAAUUCAUGACAAGUCUAUCCCCCUCAACUUUCGCCUCUCGACGUUGGAGACCUACGAUAGUUAUGCAGGCGUUCUUGACGGGUCUACGACCUUCAAGGUUUUUUUGGUCGCUGGUCGAGAGACCACCAGCGAUCGUUCCCGAGAUGCUCCAACGAGCCAACCAGUAUGUUGCGACAGAGGCACUAGUGGCAAGAAAGCACAAGGAGUCGCACAAGAGACCCCGUCAAGAGCUACCCAUGUGAGCAGAUCGGGGAAAGAAGAAGACCCACCACGACAUGACCAAAAGAAGAGCCCAAGAUGUGCAGAUCAAAAAAAGAAAAAGAAAAAAAGAGGAGGUGUUUCCCAAGAUGUUUAGCCAAUGCCUGAGCUACGUUGCUCGGCUAGUCCAAUCCCCAGUGCCCGAGCAAUGUUGCUCGACCAGUCAUGUAUAAUCAGUUGCUACUCAGUUCGUUCAAUGCUCGAGCUACGUUGCCCGGCCAAUCCAGUCCCCAGUGCCCGAGCAGUGUUGCUCGGCCAAGCCAAUGCUCGAGCUACGUUGCUCGGUCAAUCCAAUCCCCAAUGCCCGAGUAGUGUUGCUCGACCAAGCCAAUGCUCGAGCUACGUUGCUCGGUCAAUCCAAUCCCCAAUGCCCGAGUAGUGUUGCUCGACCAAUCCAGUCCCCAAUGCCCGAGCAGUGUUGCUCGGUCAGUCAUGUGCAAUCAGUCAUUGCUCGGUUCGUUCAAUGCUUGAGCUACGUUGCUCGGCUAGUCCAGUCCCCAAUGCUGCUCGAGUAGCGCAGCUCGGUUUUGUCAUGUGCAGCAAGUCACUGCUUAGUUCAGUCAUGUGCAGCAAAUCGCUGCUCGGUUCAGUCGAGAUUUAAGCAAUUGCUCGGCCAAACAUGGGCCCGAGUGAUGUUGCUCGGCCAAGCUAAUGCUGCUCGAGCAACGCAACUCGAUUCUAUCAUGCACAGCAAGUCGCUACUCGGUUCAAUCGAUGUCCGAGCAGUUACUCGGCCAAACAUUGGCCCGAGUUAUGCUGCUCGGCCAAGCCAGCGCCCGAGCCACGUUGCUCGACCAAGCCAAUCCCCAGUCAAAUGCCUGAGCCACGCCUUGCAGUCCAACGUUCAAGUCACGCCCCAGCCAGUCCAAACUCCCGAGCCGCGCCUCCCGGCCAAUCCAAUGUCCGAGGCACGUCUCGGCCAGUCCGAUGCCCGAGCCACGCCUCGCGGCUAGUCCAAUGUCCAAGUCACGUGCCCAAGUAGUGUAGCUCGGCUAGUCUAGCGCUCGAGUAGUGUUGCUCAGCCAGCCCAGUCCUUGAGUUAUGUCGCUCGACCAGUCCAGCUCCCGAUCAAUCGAUGACCGAACCACUAGUCCCAUCACGACAACCAACCCAACCAACAAAAGGCACCAAGCCAUGCCCCGAGCCCCCCCACACGGAACCCGGGGCAUGCCUCUUUGGGGGGGGGGGGGAAGGAGGGGGGAGAAUGAUAUGGCAUAUUUUGACAUUGUCCACGUGGACCCAGGUAAGCAAACACGACAAUGCAAACGUGGAACCUCAAGUACGAUGUGGCGCACAGCACACACGUGGUAGGUAGCUGCUUGCCGCCCCCUCCGUACGAACGACAUCAUCACGGUACAACCGUCCCGGAAAGCUCAGGGUGACUACGAGUGGCACCGAUCCGUGCAAGUCGGUCGGCGCUCGUACAAAAGCUAAAGUCGACUGCCCGAGGAGCCGACCGUAGUUAAUUAACCCUAUACGACUAACUCAUCCUCGCAGGUAUAAAAGCUAACCCUCCUUAAUCAGGAGGGAGAGGACUUCAGAUACUCAACUCUCGCUCAUUUUACCUUAAGCUUCAGAGGGGUCGAGUCGAGAAAUCCCCCUCCCGACCUCGACCUGUGUACAGGAGUCCAGCGACGGAGAAGCAAGCCACUCAUCAAGAGAGAAGACCGCGCUCGGGGGAUGAGGCUUGAACCCAACCCGACUUACGCUCGCCCUCACCACCCGAGUAUUCACGUGGGCAACCUUGUACAUCUAGGACUAGACCGAGCCCCUUGCUGACACCUUGAUCAAUGCGUAAAGGUUCACCGACAAAUAACCCAGUUUGAAAAGUAGAUUUACUGUGUAUGUGAGUACCCCAGUUUGGUUAGUCCCAAAAUGCUUGUGGUCUAUACUUUUGAUUCUAAAUCGGUCACAAGUCACCUUCAAAUUUUAACUACUCCUUUUUGGGCAUAGCCUAAGUUUGUUAUAUUAGGGUUGUGACAACAGAUGGCGUUCUUAUCACCACUUUUACAAAAAAGCAUAUGUUCAAUUCCCUUACCUGGAAAAGACUCGUUCAAGCCAAAUCAUCCCAUUUUUGACACAAACAGCCGACUAGAGAACUGAAUAUUCCACUUGUAUAAUGACUAUCACUAUAUCCAGUACGAGAGAUAACUUUCUCCGACUCUUUAUUGAACAGGUAAGGUUGGUGGUUUAAACUUUAAACCUUACAUCAUCAUACAAUAGUCGUCACACAUUGUUCUGCCACAGUCUACGAUAACUAUAUUCAAAUAGUUCUAAUGACUAAUUUAUUGAGCUAGAUACAAAUAAAUGAUCCAAAGAUUUAUAGGCACCAAGAAUUUGAUUGAUUAAAAAAUUCAUUGAUUUUGUAUGAAAAGGCAGUGCCACAGAGAUGACAAAAAAGCCAUUGUCUAGAAGACUGGCUGGAAAUGAAUUUCAAUAAGAGUACAAAAUAAAUUUAGACUAGCUAAUUUUUCUCAGUGAUCAUGUAACAGUGCUCUUGUCUAACCUUUAAAACUAAUGUUACUGCAUAUGUAGCAUCCCACCAAUUCGAUUAGUCUCACAAUGCUUGUGGUCUAAACUUUUAAAUGAGUUACAACUCACUGACAAGUGGUCGGUCGGUUACACCAUUUAGGGGCAGCAUAGUCUACACGAGGUUAGAUUAUAGUUGUGACAACACAAGUCACACUAUCCAUUACAGAAAGCAUAUAAUUGGUUUAUAUAAGCGAUAUUAGGUUCGUAUGACAGGUAUCACUAAAUCCAGCAAGAGGGAUUUGAUGUACACAACAUAAUUAUUUUAUGCAUCCUUGAACUGCAAUUUUAUUAGUCUAUUUUGCAAUGAUUUCAUUUACUAUAACAUUUACUACAUUAUCUUAUCAAUUAAAAAAAAACAUCAAAGAAUCUUUUAAGCAUCGCAAAUUUCUUUCAAUAGACAUGCCUUGUUUUAUUAUUUUUAAUGAAAAUAUCCACAAAUCCUGUCACUACUGACUUAUUCUAAUUGUCAUCAAAGCAAAAUCAUGAUUGCAACUUGUGCCACUCUCUCAUUAAUAAAAGAAAGCUCCUAUUGUUUUCAUUGUCCUAGUUAGAAAAUCUCACUAAGAAGAAAAAGGUAUCAACAGUUCAAAUGUCUCACGAUCAUAUAAUGCAGGUGAGACAAGUUACACGCUGCAGCACAAUAUUUCUGGUGACAUUGAAUUACUUCUUCUUUAAUAAAUCAUUGGCUUAUAUGUCGAUCGUUAUAAUUAAUUUUAUUUUUUGCUAAUGUUUCAAGACACAAAUGGUGCCAUUUUCACUCUCUAAUACCAUAGAAAAGGCAUCAUUAAGUGAUUGGAAAAGGCCAAAAAAAAUUGCCACCACAUCUUCCUCGACAACAAUUCCUAAGUCCACUAAAUCAUAAUAAAGAAUGAGUUGAAAUUUCUGCAUGAUAACCUCUCUCAAAUUCAACCUACAAUUGUAUGUUUUAAGAUAGUUAUAAAGAGAAAUGAAUAAAAUGGAGAGAACAGUGACACGAACAAAUUCUUGACAUGUAAAUCAAUCAAUAUAGGCAUGCAGUUGUAAAGAAUCACCACAAUAAAGCAUAUUGGCAACAAUCAAACGAGAAUAUAAUCUACUAACAACUUUGAAACUAAAAAGGAUGAUGGCUCCCUUACCACUGUCGGCUCUUUAGAUCAUGCUCCAUGGGCAUCAGGAAUGUCCCUGCCAAAAGCCUUCCUACGCCAUCCCGUUGGCGCCGUUCGAGUGCUGGCCGGUGAUGCCACAAUUCCUAAUUCCACCAGAUCUUUCUCAAAGAGGGCCCGGCUCCACCAUCCCGGACGCCAGAUCUAAAGAAACCCUAGGGUUCAAGAUUGCAACCGGCUCCUCCUCCGUUCUCUUUGCCUCGGAAUCGGACCGAUCCCACACCAACCUCGCGCGGGAGGGACGAGAUACAUGGCGAAAGGUCCCCAGAACCCUUGGGAUCUAGGAAGGUACAGAUCGAAACCCUCGAAAUCGAUCCGAGGUGACGCAACACGAAGGAGGGCUUGGGGGUCAAGAAACAGAGCAUACCGCCCAAAGCCGAACAGGAUACCGGAAUCAAGAAACGAGAAUACCGCUCGGAACCGAAUCGAUCUAUUUCGAACCCGCCGCCUUGGGUCCGACGUCGACGCAACGGAGAAGACGGCGUUGAGAGACCAAAAGGUCCCAAGAACCCUUGCGCCACCUUGAUCGUACGUUGGUCUCUGUCCGCCCUCCUUUCCGUUGAGUGACCGUCGGAUACAAGGCGGCGGGUUCGAAAAAGAUCUAUAUAUAUAUAUAUAUAUAUAUAUAUAUAUAUAUAUGUGUGUGUGUGUGUGUGUGUGUGUAUGU
This 4953-nucleotide long non-coding RNA is filed under the name Musa acuminata (dwarf banana). Its description in RNAcentral is "long non-coding RNA (MACU_LNC001803)". Lineage: Eukaryota; Viridiplantae; Streptophyta; Magnoliopsida; Zingiberales; Musaceae. The record is from RNAcentral.